UACAGAGGGGGCUAGCGUUAUUCGGAAUUAUUGGGCGUAAAGGGCGCGUAGGCGGCCAUGCGUGUCUUCCGUGAAAUCCCUCGGCUUAACUGAGGACGUGCGGAAGAAACUGCAAGGCUUGAGUCCGGGAGAGGGGGGUGGAAUUCCCAGUGUAGCGGUGAAAUGCGUAGAUAUUGGGAGGAACACCGGUGGCGAAGGCGGCCCCCUGGACCGGUACUGACGCUGAGGCGCGAAAGCGUGGGUAGCAAACGGG
This 253-nucleotide ribosomal RNA is filed under the name uncultured bacterium. RNAcentral describes it as "partial 16S ribosomal RNA". It matches the Rfam family "Bacterial small subunit ribosomal RNA", at positions 524 to 776 of the family's 1533-position model. The record is from RNAcentral.